GGUGGUGUAGCUCAGUGGUAGAGCGCUUGCCUAGCACAUGGAAUCACUGGGUUUAAUAGUUUAGUAAAUAAGUUUUAGUAAAUAAUUGUUUAGUAAAUAAAGGUAUUUUAUUUAUUAUUUAUUGUCCAUCUACAACUUCAAUAAAUAAAUAGAUAGCUAAAUAAAUAAAUAGAAUUAUCCCCUCUCUUGCAAUUGGCUAGUCCCUUCUUACUCUCUCUAUCA
RNAcentral lists this transfer RNA (222 nucleotides) under Marmota monax (woodchuck). Its description in RNAcentral is "tRNA.Ala". The record is from RNAcentral. Lineage: Eukaryota; Metazoa; Chordata; Mammalia; Rodentia; Sciuridae.